CUACGGGGUGCUGCAGUGGGGAAUAUUGGACAAUGGGGGAAACCCUGAUCCAGCAAUGCCGCGUGUGUGAAGAAGGCCUGCGGGUUGUAAAGCACUUUCGGUUGGGAGGACUGCUUCUAGCACUAAUAUUGUUGGAAGUUGACGUUACCUUCAGAAGAAGCACCGGCUAACUCCGUGCCAGCAGCCGCGGUAAUACGGGUGGUGCAAGCGUUAAUCGGAAUUACCGGGCGUAAAGCGCGCGUAGGCGGCUAGAUCAGUCGGGUGUGAAAGCCCCGGGCUUAACCUGGGAACUGCAUCCGAUACUGUCUAGCUUGAGUACAGGAGAGGAGAGUGGAAUUCCACAUGUAGCGGUGAAAUGCGUAGAUAUGUGGAGGAACACCAAUGGCGAAGGCAGCUCUCUGGCCUGAUACUGACGCUGAGGUGCGAAAGCGUGGGGAGCAAACAGGAUUAGAUACCCCGGUAGUC
RNAcentral lists this ribosomal RNA (465 nucleotides) under uncultured bacterium. Its description in RNAcentral is "partial 16S ribosomal RNA". It matches the Rfam family "Bacterial small subunit ribosomal RNA", at positions 339 to 795 of the family's 1533-position model. The record is from RNAcentral.